Molecule: long non-coding RNA, 610 nt
Filed under: Rattus norvegicus (Norway rat)
Lineage: Eukaryota; Metazoa; Chordata; Mammalia; Rodentia; Muridae
Description: long non-coding RNA NONRATT006985
Source: RNAcentral
AGAGAGAAAGAGAAGCCUUUUAAAGCUUAUGCAGAAAAGCUUGCUGCUCUAGCAAGUUCUCUCCGGCAAGGCAGACAUCAAACAGAUGGCUCUAAGCUAGACCUCUUCACACUGAAACUAAACCUUUGUGGCAGAUAGGCGGUGGAAAUAUUCCCACUAUGGUGCAAUAACCUGUAUUUGUUUGCACCUCAUUCUGUAAAACAUAACCUGUCCUCCAAAAGCAAACGCCUCUUUUUAAAUCUAAAUGCCUAGACCAAGAAGCAUAUUCACAUGGUAAAAUUAGAGGAUUACACAGCAGCCAUGUUUCUAGAUUAAAGAGUUCUUGGAGGUAUCUCAAAGCAUUUGCUAGGAGUGUGAACGAGAUAGCUCAGCGAGUAAAGUGCUUACCAGGCAAAUCUGACAGCCUGGAUUUGAUCCCACGACCCCACAGUGAAGGAGAGAACUGAUUUCUGAAAGUUGUCCUCUGACCUCCGCACUCACACAUAAACAUUCACAAGUAACCCACAAAGAAUAAUAUUCCCAGUAGGAUACAAGACGCUGUGUUUGUUUGUACCUUGUUUUGUAAAGCAUUACCUGUGCCCCAAAUAAUAAAUGAAAUUUAAAAUUUAAA